GUAGUAUCAUAAUGGCUAGCAGCGUCCUUCAUUCCUGCCUUAUGAUCUACAGAUGUAUCGAGAUGUCCAAUACUUGGCAUAUUGGAAUCACUUACACUGGCCAUUUUGACAGAAGUCAUAGUUGCUGGAUUGGACCAAUGACAACAUUGUUGUGGUUUAGUACAUUGGGAAUCAAUACAGAUCCUUGGAGUUGCUAAAUUCUCGACUGACUCCGAUAAGACAGCAGUUGUAUUAGAAGUAGCAUUCAAAAGGACUGACUCUCCAAUGUUAGAGGGAUCAGUACUACCAUUCAAAACCAUACUAUCUGCUAUGACAUUACCAUUUUCCUUAUCAGCAUCAGUGGUAAG
RNAcentral lists this long non-coding RNA (347 nucleotides) under Nicotiana benthamiana. RNAcentral describes it as "long non-coding RNA (NBEN_LNC041669)". The record is from RNAcentral. Lineage: Eukaryota; Viridiplantae; Streptophyta; Magnoliopsida; Solanales; Solanaceae.